CCUACGGGGGGCUGCAGUGAGGAAUAUUGGUCAAUGGGCGCAAGCCUGAACCAGCCAUGCCGCGUGCAGGAUGACGGCCCUAUGGGUUGUAAACUGCUUUUAUACGGGAAGAAACCUUCGGACGUGUCCGGAGCUGACGGUACCGUAAGAAUAAGCACCGGCUAACUCCGUGCCAGCAGCCGCGGUAAUACGGAGGGUGCAAGCGUUAUCCGGAUUUAUUGGGUUUAAAGGGUGCGCAGGCGGAUUAAUAAGUCAGUGGUGAAAUCCCCCGGCUCAACCGGGGAAUUGCCGUUGAUACUGUUAGUCUAGAGUUUAGUUGAAGUAGGCGGAAUGUAGCAUGUAGCGGUGAAAUGCAUAGAUAUGCUACAGAACACCAAUUGCGAAGGCAGCUUACUAACCUAAAACUGACGCUCAGGCACGAAAGCGUGGGGAUCAAACAGGAUUAGAUACCCCUGUAGUC
This 460-nucleotide ribosomal RNA is filed under the name uncultured Bacteroidota bacterium. RNAcentral's name for it is "bacterial SSU rRNA". It matches the Rfam family "Bacterial small subunit ribosomal RNA", at positions 338 to 795 of the family's 1533-position model. Lineage: Bacteria; Pseudomonadati; Bacteroidota. The record is from RNAcentral.